CGUAGUCAACUGACCUAGCCCGGAAGUGUCGGGAGCCUGGCUCCGAACUCAGCAGCGCGGACGGGUGCCAGCCAGAGGGGGAGGGCCCGGGCGCAGCGAUGGCUCCGGACCCCUGGUUGUCGAUGUACGAUUCCACCUGUCACAUUGCACAAGAGAUUGCUGAAAAAAUCCAGGAGCGUAAUCGAUGUCAAAGAAAUGGUGAAAAUUCAACGAAGCUUAAUGUGACAAUCCGAUCAUUGUUGCAGAAUCUAAAGGUAAAGAUCGACCAGCUGAAGGACUUACUGCUUCGAGCUAUAUCAACACGUCAGAUAACACAAUUGGAGGGAGACAGAAGGCAAAACUUAGUGGAUGACCUUCUCACGCGGCAGAGACAACUUGAAGCAUCCUAUAAAAAUGAUGGCACAGAACCAGAUGUGAUAAGAUCUAACCUAAUGACUGGAGGGGUGAAACGAGGUGUAACCAACCCAUGGCUUCUGGAAGAGACAGAGGAAACCAGCGGGCUUAACUUUGGUGAGAUCAGACAGCAGCAGCAGAGGAUCAUACAAGAGCAAGAUGCUGGGCUUGAUGCUCUCUCCUCAGUCUUAUCGAGGCAAAAACAAAUGGGGCAGGAAAUCGGGAAUGAGCUGGAGGAACAGAAUGAGAUCAUCGAUGACCUCACCAAUUUGGUAGCAAAUACGGAUGACAAACUGCGCAGUCAAACCCGUCAUGUGAAGAUGGUGGACAAAAAGUCAACUUCAUGUGCCCCAUGGAUUUGGUGAGCAAGAAUGGUGACAGGAUGGAACUGUGCACUGAAAAUGCGUGAGAGCUGCUGAGCAGGAGGACAGGAAUGUUGGUGGUGAUUGUGUUGUUGCUGAUUGCAAUUGCUGUGGUUGCCGUCUGGCCAACACACUAACGCAAGUGCGGGAACCAUCAGAGAUGCCACUUAGCAGCAGCAGCAGCAGAGCUGGACAAUAUCAGAGGAUGCGAACAACUCCAUUGCAAACACAUUUUGUGUGUUAAGUAAACUCAGUAUUAGAAUGAAGAUGUUGCUGCACGCAAUGCACAGCCAAAGGGCUGUGGCUAGUUUGGAGCAUUUGAACUUCAAAAGGACUCUUUUCCUUCCUUGAUUUUGUACUUCAGAGGGACACAACUGGCGUAGAUGCAUCUUUUAAGAGAUUUACCCUUCAGUGCAACUGACUCUAAGCAAGCAAUCUGCCCCUUUUGUUGAGAGUUCAGUCAUCCUGAGGGUUUAAUGUACUGUAUACUGCUCCUACAUAGUUUGUGUGGUAUAUGUGUUGAGUUCCUCCUCUCUUGCUAAAUGAUGAUCUUUUGAACCAAGAUUUUGCAUCUUAUAAAGAAGUGAGUGUUGUAAGGAGCUAAUUGAUGCUGAGUUUCAAUGAAGUUGGAGGGUCAGAGAGCAGGCACAGCUUGAGACUGAAAAGCCUGGUGAUGAGGGUAGAACAGAAUAUAGGGACUCAGGGGCACCUUACAAACAUAAGUAUGAGGCAGUCUUUGGCGGUUGUGAGAGAAUUACCAGUGCUGAGCUGCACAGAUCGAAAUGCAAACAACAGUGGAGCUUUCCAACAUUUAACACAACCAGGUGUAGAACAGCGGAAAGCUCUGCCCAACGUGUGCUCGUAAGGGGGGAAAGUGUCUUUCUGCUAACUGUACUGUGGAGUAUGUUUACCCCAACUGACUAACUGCAGAAGUCCUGAUACAGUGAAUAGACUAGUCUCAAGACCAGAGAUGUGCACAGCUUUUUUUAUCAUUUUUCAUAACUGUUCAAACUGCAAAGGAAAAUAUUACGAGUAUUAAAAAAAAAAAAUGAAAAAAGAAUGUAAUGCUCAUUGCUGUCCCCAAAAUCAUUAUUUUGUUAUGUGCCAACUUAAUUGUCAGACCUGAUAGAUCAAUAAUAACACUGAAUAAAAGCUGAUCCAUUUA
RNA transcript from Gopherus flavomarginatus (Mexican gopher tortoise), 1920 nucleotides. It is a transcript of the gene named syntaxin 8, with no coding region annotated. NCBI's taxonomy places the organism in Eukaryota, Metazoa, Chordata, Testudines, Testudinidae. The transcript has 9 exons. The record is from RefSeq and is a predicted model, not a curated record.